CUACGGGUUGCUGCAGUGGGGAAUAUUGCACAAUGGGCGCAAGCCUGAUGCAGCCAUGCCGCGUGUAUGAAGAAGGCCUUCGGGUUGUAAAGUACUUUCAGCGGGGAGGAAGGGAGUAAAGUUAAUACCUUUGCUCAUUGACGCUACCCGCAGAAGAAGCACCGGCUAACUCCGUGCCAGCAGCCGCGGUAAUACGGAGGGUGCAAGCGUUAAUCGGAAUUACUGGGCGUAAAGCGCACGCAGGCGGUUUGUUAAGUCGGGUGUGAAAUCCCCGGGCUCAACCUGGGAACUGCAUCGGAUACUGGCAAGCUUGAGUAUCGUAGAGGGGGGUAGAAUUCCAGGUGUAGCGGUGAAAUGCGUAGAGAUCUGGAGGAAUACCGGUGGCGAAGGCGGCCCCCUGGACGAAGACUGACGCUCAGGUGCGAAAGCGUGGGGAGCAAACAGGAUUAGAUACCCCGGUAGUC
Molecule: ribosomal RNA, 464 nt
Filed under: uncultured bacterium
Lineage: Bacteria
Description: partial 16S ribosomal RNA
Rfam family: Bacterial small subunit ribosomal RNA
Source: RNAcentral